CUGGCGCGACUCGAGUCACGCCAGUCCCUUUGGCGUGACCGAGGGAUAUACAGAAGGGGGCGCCGGCCCCUUCUCCCGCACGCAAGUCACUUCUUCCUCAGGAACGGAGGCAGAACACAAAACCCCCCUGGCGCCCUCUCUCUGCAUUCCAAUCGAUUUGGUGGCCCAAUAGGAAGGGAUUUGAGCGGGAAGAGGUGAAGGAAGGUUAUCGGUAUGACGUCGAACUUAUGGCGCAAGCAAAAGUGGGCACAUAUCGGUAAGCAGUAUCCCGAUGUGAGUUGCAAAGAUGCUCCGGUUCCCCCCUCCCUCCCUGUUCCGACUUGUGACUGUGGUAAGCGAGCCGUGGUUCUUCAGUCGCUGCACGAAGAUACUGCCGGUCGGGCUUACUACCUGUGCUCGGAUUAUCGUGAGUGGGAGAUGUGCUAUUUCUUCCAAUGGAUAGAUGGGCCCGAUAUGUAUGAUCAGAGGAUUCUCUAGGUGAAACGGUUUAGUCAGUAUCCGAAGCCAUUUGAGAAGUUUGUUCGUUGGGUCCCCCCACCACCAAAUCCCCCAAAAUUAACGGAUAAAGAGAAGUGGCAAUUGAAGACUGCACGUGUUGCGGAUCCUCCGUUGUGCAAUUGUGAAAAGCAAAGCGUACUUUGUGAACCUUCUGGGGGGUCGCCUUACUUUCGUUGCGAAGGGAUGACAAGGCGCCAUGGUGCAACAUGUGGUUUUCGGGAUCCUUUGUACGGACCUGACGGUCUAUGGAAAGAUGAAGAAAAAGAUGAAGUGAAGGGGAAAAGGGUUAUAGAACCUUGUGCCCCAAGAAAGUGUCCUUGUGGUGUGAAUGCGAAUCACGGGAUAGUGCCAUCGGAACUUGGAGUGGGGUACUACUGCGGCCAUGUGGUCGGCAACGAUAUGAGAACACGGAAAUGUUCGUGGGAGGAGUAUCUCGAUAAAGGAGUGGUUGAUCAUGAGAUUGCAUGGCGGAGUAAGCGUCCUCGAAACGUGCUGUCAAGCUAUUUGGAUAACAGGAAGAAAGAAACUCGUGAUUACUACCAUGCUUUGUAUCCUCCCAUAAGAAAUAGUACCAUGGCGGGUAAAGAUGUUUCGGCUACAGAGGUAGAAAUAGAAACAAUGAAGGCGCUUGUCGGUAAGUUACCCGUGGUUAUCCCGGACGACGAUAAUGACGAUGUGUUAUAUGAUGGGCUAGACAAUUAGACGGAGCAGCACAAAUUGUCGUGUGUCGCCUAUUUAUGAACGUGAUAUGUAAUCCUCGUCGACGAGGAAUGAAUAUUUGUAUGUCGGACCUAAAUUUAAUGUUUUUUGCUCAA
Molecule: RNA transcript, 1313 nt
Organism: Phragmites australis (common reed)
Lineage: Eukaryota; Viridiplantae; Streptophyta; Magnoliopsida; Poales; Poaceae
Exons: 5
Source: RefSeq, a predicted model, not a curated record